UUCGGGUCUAGUGGCGCACGGGUGCGUAACGCGUGGGAAUCUGCCCUUGGGUUCGGGAUAACAGUUGGAAACGACUGCUAAUACCGGAUGAUGACUUCGGUCCAAAGAUUUAUCGCCCAGGGAUGAGCCCGCGUCGGAUUAGCUAGUUGGUGAGGUAAAAGCUCACCAAGGCGACGAUCCGUAGCUGGUCUGAGAGGAUGAUCAGCCACACUGGGACUGAGACACGGCCCAGACUCCUACGGGAGGCAGCAGUGGGGAAUAUUGGACAAUGGGCGAAAGCCUGAUCCAGCAAUGCCGCGUGAGUGAUGAAGGCCUUAGGGUUGUAAAGCUCUUUUACCCGGGAUGAUAAUGACAGUACCGGGAGAAUAAGCCCCGGCUAACUCCGUGCCAGCAGCCGCGGUAAUACGGAGGGGGCUAGCGUUGUUCGGAAUUACUGGGCGUAAAGCGCACGUAGGCGGCUUUGUAAGUUAGAGGUGAAAGCCCGGGGCUCAACUCCGGAACUGCCUUUAAGACUGCAUCGCUAGAACGUCGGAGAGGUAAGUGGAAUUCCGAGUGUAGAGGUGAAAUUCGUAGAUAUUCGGAAGAACACCAGUGGCGAAGGCGACUUACUGGACGACUG
Molecule: ribosomal RNA, 619 nt
Filed under: uncultured bacterium
Lineage: Bacteria
Description: bacterial SSU rRNA
Rfam family: Bacterial small subunit ribosomal RNA
Source: RNAcentral